RNAcentral lists this long non-coding RNA (1111 nucleotides) under Brassica rapa (field mustard). Its description in RNAcentral is "long non-coding RNA (BRAP_LNC001336)". Lineage: Eukaryota; Viridiplantae; Streptophyta; Magnoliopsida; Brassicales; Brassicaceae. The record is from RNAcentral.
AUACUUGUAGGCCCGACCCUUAGAGGAAGCCGAAGAAACAAAGGAUUUCGACCUUCAUAAACUUAUAUUAGGUUCGGCCAUCAAUGUACAAAGUACCAUUUAGCUUAGUGGUAUAAAUGUUGGUAUAAAUGUUGGUGUUUAUAUCUCAAUAACCUGGGUUCGAGUUAUGGGCUUAACACUUUUUCACACUUUUUAAAAGUGGAACCCAUAAAACGCUGACGUGGUGUGCUGAGGAGUGAGCAAAAACUCAACAAUUAUAUUAUAGAUUCUGUUUACAUUUGAAAGAACUACUAAUACUAGUUUCCCUGCGCGAAAGGAUAGUGUUAAUUUUAUAACAUGUUUAAUAUUUAUCAUAAGAUUUUUGAUAUUAUAAUUUAACACUUAGAUUAUGAUAUGGCAGAGAAAGAAAACAAGUCGUUAGUUGGAGAGCUCUCUCUCUCUCUCUCAUCUAUGUUCCCUCUCUGGGAUCUUUCAUAGGGAAGAGAGAGAGUGAUUGUUUUUUUUUUGUUUUUUGUAUAUUUUUUUGUUUUGAUUGCCGAUGGUUUCUUGCGACAUACACUCAUGUCCUUCGGGCCCUGACUCUGGGAAGCGGUGUCUCUCUAGCAACGUCUUCGCCGGCUUUUGCCUCUUGGAAGUGAUGGCUUCUGUCGCAUCAUCUUUGCUGGCUUCCUCCCGGAUUUUUUCCCCGGUUUUAUGUUUAAUUGGCAUUUUUUUCGUUCUCUUUUGCAACAGACUCUUGAGCUAAUCCUUUGAUUUCUCUUCCUUCCCCUCUGUUCGGGUAGUUUCAUUCUCAAGCUUAUCCUUAUCAUUUAGGAUGACAGAUUGUUCAUAUAAGAUAAUCGAAGUUGAUAAUCUCGAUUGAAACCGGUUGAAUUUCUUUUUGGAAACGUUUAAUCCGUUAGUUUAGGUUUAACGAUGCCGAUCGUGGUGAGGGUUGCUCUGUUUGAGCGGCUUCUUCUCCAGCUCGUCUCUACUGGUUGUGGAAUUCUGUCGUCGCACGCCUCUCUCUAGCUCCAUAGGAAGACGAUGGCUGUUUCUUUGACGCGUGUUUCUAAAUCGUUUGUCGACUGAACACGUGGUGGGUGACUCUUCAUCUCUUCCCCGACGGUUU